AAUAAGUUUAUUUUUCAGUUUUUAGAUACAAUAUUUCGACUCUUCAUCUUAUUUGAAUUUUUUUGCAAUUAAUAUUUUUAUUGUUAAUAGAUGAUAAAACAUGAAUAGUAUUUUAUACAUGACUAAUUUUUAAAGAUCUUUACAAUUUUUUUAAAUAAAACGAAUGGUUAAACGUUGACCAUAAAAAU
RNAcentral lists this microRNA precursor (188 nucleotides) under Oryza brachyantha (malo sina). RNAcentral describes it as "MIR812 microRNA precursor family". It matches the Rfam family "MIR812 microRNA precursor family". The record is from Rfam by way of RNAcentral. Lineage: Eukaryota; Viridiplantae; Streptophyta; Magnoliopsida; Poales; Poaceae.